RNAcentral lists this ribosomal RNA (729 nucleotides) under uncultured eukaryote. Its description in RNAcentral is "SSU rRNA". It matches the Rfam family "Eukaryotic small subunit ribosomal RNA", at positions 670 to 1426 of the family's 1831-position model. The record is from RNAcentral.
CGGGUGCACUGAUCCGGCCGGGCCUUUCCCUCUGUGGAACCCCAUGGCCUUCACUGGCUGUGCGGGGGAAACAGGACUUUUACUGUGAAAAAAUUAGAGUGCUCCAGGCAGGCCUAUGCUCGAAUACAUUAGCAUGGAAUAAUAGAAUAGGACGCGUGGUUCUAUUUUGUUGGUUUCUAGGACCGCCGUAAUGAUUAAUAGGGACAGUCGGGGGCAUCAGUAUUCAAUUGUCAGAGGUGAAAUUCCUGGAUCUAUUGAAGACUAACUACUGCGAAAGCAUUUGCCAAGGAUGUUUUCAUUGAUAAGGAACGAAAGUUAGGGGAUCGAAGACGAUCAGAUACCGUCGUAGUCUUAACUAUAAACUAUGCCGACUAGGGAUCGGACGAUGUUAUUUCUUGACGCGUUCGGCACCUUUCGAGAAAUCAAAGUGCUUGGGCUCCAGGGGGAGUAUGGUCGCAAGGCUGAAACUUAAAGAAAUUGACGGAAGGGCACCACCAGGGGUGGAACCUGCGGCUUAAUUUGACUCAACACGGGGAAACUCACCAGGUCCAGACACAGUGAGGAUUGACAGAUUGAGAGCUCUUUCUUGAUUCUGUGGGUGGUGGUGCAUGGCCGUUCUUAGUUGGUGGAGUGAUUUGUCUGCUUAAUUGCGAUAACGAACGAGACCUUAACCUGCUAAAUAGCCCGUACUGCUCUGGCAGUUCGCCGGCUUCUUAGAGGGACUAUCGG